UUGAGAGCGGCGUACGGGUGCGGAACACGUGUGUAACUGCUUUAUCUGGGGGAUAGCCUUUCGAAAGGAAGAUUAAUACCCCAUAAUAUGUUGAAUGGCAUCAUUCGACAUUGAAAACUCCGGUGGAUAGAGAUGGGCACGCGCAAGAUUAGAUAGUUGGUGAGGUAACGGCUCACCAAGUCUACGAUCUUUAGGGGGCCUGAGAGGGUGAUCCCCCACACUGGUACUGAGACACGGACCAGACUCCUACGGGAGGCAGCAGUGAGGAAUAUUGGACAAUGGGUGAGAGCCUGAUCCAGCCAUCCCGCGUGAAGGACGACUGCCCUAUGGGUUGUAAACUUCUUUUGUAUAGGGAUAAACCUACCCUCGUGAGGGUAGCUGAAGGUACUAUACGAAUAAGCACCGGCUAACUCCGUGCCAGCAGCCGCGGUAAUACGGAGGAUGCAAGCGUUAUCCGGAUUUAUUGGGUUUAAAGGGUCCGUAGGCGGAUCUGUAAGUCAGUGGUGAAAUCUCACAGGUUUAACUGUGAAGCUGCAUUGGUACUGCAGGUCUUGAGUGUUGUGAAGUAGCUGGAUUAGUAGUGUAACGUGAAUGCUUAAA
This 600-nucleotide ribosomal RNA is filed under the name uncultured bacterium. RNAcentral's name for it is "bacterial SSU rRNA". It matches the Rfam family "Bacterial small subunit ribosomal RNA", at positions 89 to 694 of the family's 1533-position model. The record is from RNAcentral.